GGCACAGUAGCUCAGUGGUAGAGCAAGCGGUUCAUACCCGCUCGGCCGCUGGUUCAAAUCCAGCCUGUGCCACCA
Molecule: transfer RNA, 75 nt
Filed under: Gloeobacterales cyanobacterium ES-bin-141
Lineage: Bacteria; Bacillati; Cyanobacteriota; Cyanophyceae; Gloeobacterales
Description: tRNA-Met
Rfam family: tRNA
About the family: Transfer RNA (tRNA) molecules are approximately 80 nucleotides in length.
Source: RNAcentral